GAAAGCGUAACAGCUCACUGAUCUAGCGAUUCUGCGCUGAAAAUAUAACGGGGCUAAGAUACGCACCGAAGCUUUAGAUUCGUAUUUAUACGAGUGGUAGGAGAGCGUUCCAAACAGCGUUGAAGGUAUACCGGUGAGGAGUGCUGGAGCGUUUGGAAGUGAGCAUGCAGGCAUGAGUAGCGAUAAAAGCAGUGAGAAUCUGCUUCGCCGUAAACCCAAGGUUUCCUACGCGAUGCUCGUCAUCGUAGGGUUAGUCGGGACCUAAGUCGAGUCCGAAAGGGGUAGACGAUGGCAAAUCGGCUAAUAUUCCGAUACCGACAAUUGUUCGUUUGAGUGAUGGGGGGACGCAUAGAGUUAAUCGAGCUCACUGAUGGAAUAGUGGGUCGAAGGACGUAGGCUGAAACACAGGCAAAUCCGUGUUUCGUUAGGCCGAGAUCUUACAGGCUCUUCAAGGACUUCGGUCUGCGAGGAGAAUCGAUGAUACUGUCG
This 489-nucleotide ribosomal RNA is filed under the name uncultured Campylobacterota bacterium. RNAcentral's name for it is "bacterial LSU rRNA". It matches the Rfam family "Bacterial large subunit ribosomal RNA", at positions 1128 to 1610 of the family's 2925-position model. The record is from RNAcentral. Lineage: Bacteria; Pseudomonadati; Campylobacterota.